UCUCCGUAGGUGAACCUGCGGAGGGAUCAUUACCGAGCUCAUGCCCUUACGGGUAGAUCUCCCACCCUGUGUUAUUAUUACCUUUGUUGCUUUGGCGGGCCGCCAGGCUCCGGUCAGGCUAUCGGCUUCGGCUGGUAAGCGCCCGCCGGAGGACCCUAUAUCCUGAUUAUUAGUGUCGUCUGAGUACUAUAUAAUAGUUAAAACUUUCAACAACGGAUCUCUUGGUUCUG
RNAcentral lists this unclassified non-coding RNA (230 nucleotides) under plant metagenome. RNAcentral describes it as "partial contains small subunit ribosomal RNA, internal transcribed spacer 1, and 5.8S ribosomal RNA". The record is from RNAcentral.